Staphylothermus hellenicus DSM 12710 is the source of this 3203-nucleotide non-coding RNA. The record is from Rfam. Lineage: Archaea; Thermoproteati; Thermoproteota; Thermoprotei; Desulfurococcales; Desulfurococcaceae.
GGGCCUGCGGCACCGACGCCGCCCGGUGGAUGGCUCGGCUCGGGCGCCGAGGAAGGCCGUGGCAAGCUGCGAUAAGCCCGGGGUAGGCGCACGCAGCCGUUGAACCCGGGAUCGCCGAAUGGGACCUCCUGCCACGGGUGAAGAGCCCGUGGCGUCCGGGAAACCAUUCCCUCCCUCCUCGUGGGGGAGGAGUGGGAGUACCGGACGGGAACCCCCCGAACGGAAACAUCUUAGUAGGGGGAGGAGGAGAAACCACCACGGGAUCCCCUGAGUAGGGGCGACCGAAAGGGGGAGAGCCCAAACCAAUCCUCCACGGGAUAACCGUGGAGGGAUGAGGGGUUGACGGGUCCCCGGCUAGGGGCCUUUGAGCCCCGAGAGGGCCUAUCCACGGUAGCCGAAGUGGCCUGGAACGGCCCGCCGUAGAGGGUGAAAGCCCCGUAGGCUAAACCGUGGAGGCCCUCGCCGCGGGACCAGAGUACCACGGCUUGGUUUUGCCGUGGGAAGCCGGGAGGCACCGGCUUCCAAGGCUAAACACGUCCCGAGACCGAUAGCGUACUAAGUACCGUGAGGGAAAGCUGAAAAGUACCCUGGAAAGGGGGUGAAAAGAGCCUGAAACCGGGCGGCUACAUACGGCGCAGCCUGGAAGAGAUGAGGUCCUCCAAAGGAAACCGGGGCGACCCGGGAGUACGAGGAGGGCCGAUCAGGGUUGCGCCGUCCGUCUUGAAACACGGGCCGGGGAGUCCACGGCAGUGGCGAGCCUAAGGGGGACAAAGCCCCGUAGGCGUAGGGAAACCGACAAGCCCGCAGCCGGGCCGCAAGGCACCGGCGAGGGGCGGGGUCCUCACAGGGCCCGGAGUCACUGCCGUGGGACCAGAAACCGGGCGAUCUAGGCGGGGGCAGGGCGAAGCCGGGGGAAACCCCGGUGGAGGCCCGCAAGGGUUCUGACGUGCAAUUCGUUCCCCUGACCCCCGUCUAGGGGCAAAAGACCAAUCUAGCCCGGUGAUAGCUGGUUCCCGCCGAAGUGGCUCUCAGGCCAGCCCCGCCAGAGGCUGGCUGCGGGGUAGAGCUACGGAUUGGGGGUGCAGGGGGCGAAAGCCCCCGGCCCCCUAUCCAACUCCGAACCCGUGGCCGCCGUAGAAGGCGGGAGUGGGGCUCCCCGGGGUAAGCCCGGGGGCCGAGAGGGGAACAACCCAGACCGGGGUUAAGGCCCCAAAGUGCCGGCUAAGUGCCAAUCCCAAAGGGCGUCCCGCGGCUUAGACAGCGGGGAGGUGGGCCUAACAGCAGCCACCCUCUAAGGAGUGCGUAACAGCUCACCCGCCGAGCCGCGGGGCCCCGAAGAUUGGUCGGGGCUCAAGCCGGCCGCCGAGACCCCGGGGCACGGCUCCGAUGGAGCCGUGAUCCGGUAGGCGGGCGCCGGGUCGGGGCAGAAGCCGGGCCGAGAGGUCCGGUGGACCCGAUCCGGGUGUGGAUCCCGGCGGCAGUAGCAGCGAAGAGGGGUGGAAAUCCCCUCCGCCGGAAAGGGCAAGGGUUCCUCGGCAACGGUCGUCGGCCGAGGGUUAGCCGGCCCUAACCCGGGCCGUAACACGGACCCGGGGAAGGGGAAACGGGUUAAUAUUCCCGUGCCGCGGGGGUAGACGCGGCAACGCAAGCCCGGCCUCCGACGCCUCCGGAUAGGCGGACCGGGGGCACCCGAAUGGGUGCGACCCGGCUAACCGGUGAAGGCCCUGGAGAACCGUAAUGGUGAGAAGGGGCCGAAGCCGGGAAUGGGAUCCCGUAUGGGGUCUUCCGCUGACUCCGGGGGCCCAUGAAAAGGGGGCCGGGAACGAUCCCCCGCGCCCGUACCGAGAACCGACACAGGUGCCCCUGGGUGAGUAGCCCCAGGCGUCUGGGGGAUAACCCGGGCCAGGGAACUCGGCAAAUUGGCCCCGUAACUUCGGGAGAAGGGGUGCCCGCGGCCUGGAGGCAGAAAACCCUCUGGACCGCGGGUCGCAGUGCCUAGGGGGACCUGACUGUUUAAUAAAAACAUAGGUCCCCGCAAGCCCGAAAGGGUGUGUACGGGGGCUGAAUCCUGGCCACUGGCGGUCCGUGAAACCGGGGUACAACCCGGCUAAGCGCCGCUGAAGGCCGGGAGUAACUCUGACUCUCUUAACGGGAGAAUCCCGUUGCUAUAUAAUUUUGCUGGGCAACGGGACCUCCCGGGGGAAAGGUAGCCAAAUGCCUUGCCGGGUGAGUUCCGGCGCGCAUGAAUGGAUCAACGAGGUCCCCACUGUCCUGGCCCGGGGCCCCGCGAAUACACGGAGCCGGUGCACAGGCCGGCAACCCCCCGCUGGGCGAUAAGACCCCGUGGAGCUUCACCGCAGCCUGGCGUUGGCUUCCGGGCUGCGGCGCGUAGCGUAGGUGGGAGCCGGUGAACCCGCCCCUCCGGGGGUGGGGGAGGCGCCAAUGAAACACCACCCACCGCAGCCCGGAGGCCUUACCCCCGGGGAGAUCCCGGGGGGACAGCGUCAGGUGGGCGGUUUGGCUGGGGCGGCACGCCCGCGAAAAGGUAACACGGGCGCCCAAAGGUCGGCUCAGGCGGGUCAGAGCUCCGCCGUAGAGUGCAAGGGCAAAAGCCGGCUUGACCGGACCCCGGAACAUAACGGGUCCGGCCGGGAAACCGCGGCCUAGCGAACGCUCGUGCCCUCCUCGGUGGGGGCCGGGCAUGACAGAAAAGUUACCCCGGGGAUAACAGAGUCGUCGCGGGCGAGAGCUCCCAUCGACCCCGCGGUUUGCUACAUCGAUGUCGGCUCUUCCCAUCCUGGGGGUGCAGCAGCCCCCAAGGGUGGGGCUGCCCGCCCAUUAAAGGGGAACGUGAGCUGGGUUUAGACCGUCGUGAGACAGGUCGGACUCUACCCGCGGGGGGUGUGGGCCGCCUGAGGGGAAGGUGCCCUCAGUACGAGAGGAACGGGGUGCCGCGGCCAAUGGUGUACCGGUUGUCCGGCAGGGCAGAGCCGGGCAGCCACGCCGUAGGGGGUAACCGCUGAAAGCAUCUAAGCGGGAACCCCUCCCCGAAAAGAGGCGGCCGUCCGCCGAAGAGGUUUCUCUUCGGCGGGUAGGGCUCCCGUAGAAGACGGGGUUGAUGGGGCGGGGGUGUAAGCCCCGAGGGAGCAUUGUCUCCCAAGGGGUUUAGCCCGCCGCUCCCAAGAGCCCGACGCCGCAGGCUA